This 822-nucleotide ribosomal RNA is filed under the name uncultured bacterium. RNAcentral's name for it is "partial 16S ribosomal RNA". The record is from RNAcentral.
UACCUUGUUACGACUUCGCGCCAAUCAUCGGCCCUACCUUAGACGGUUGCUUCCUUGCGGUUAGCGCGCCGGUUUCGGGUAAGACCAACUUUCGUCUCGUGACGGGCGGUGUGUGCAAGGCCCGGGAACGUAUUCAACGCCGUAUUGCUGACCGGCGUUUACUAGCGAUUCCGACUUCAUGGAGUCGAGUUGCAGACUCCAAUCCGAACUGAGACCGGCUUUCUGAGAUUAGCAUCGCCUCGCGGCAUAGCAACCCUUUGUACCGGCCAUUGUAGCAUGUGUGCAGCCCAGGGCGUAAGGGGCAUGAUGACUUGACGUCACCCCCACCUUCCUCCUCUUUACAGAGGCAGUUUGUUCCGAGUUCCCGACAUUACUCGCUGGCAACAGAACAUGAGGGUUGCGCUCGUUGCGGGACUUAACCCAACAUUUCACAACACGAGCUGACGACAGCCAUGCACCACCUGUGCAACACCUUCGAAAGCGAGUGGCUUUCACCACCUUGCAGUUGCAUGUCAAGCCCUGGUAAGGUUCUUCGCGUUGCAUCAAAUUAAGCCACAUGCUCCACCGCUUGUGCGGGCCCCCGCCAAUUCCUUUGAGUUUCAACCUUGCGGCCGUACUCCCCAGCCGGUUCACUUAAUGCGUUAGCUGCGGCACCUAGGCUUACCCCCCAACCCCUAGUGAACAUCGUUUAUGGGUAAGACACCAGGGCAUCUAAUCCCGUUGCUACCUUAACUUUCAUGCCUGACGUCAUAUUCGCCAAAAAGUGCUUUCCCCAUUGGGGUUCCGACACAUCUAACGCAUUCACCGUUGCCUGUGCUUUCC